This 65-nucleotide transfer RNA is filed under the name Cerambycidae sp. 4 KM-2017. RNAcentral describes it as "tRNA-Leu". Lineage: Eukaryota; Metazoa; Arthropoda; Insecta; Coleoptera; Cerambycidae. The record is from RNAcentral.
UCUAAUGUGGCAGAAUAGUGCUUUGGAUUUAAGCCCCAAAUAUAAAGUCUUACCUUUUUUUAGAA